This 702-nucleotide long non-coding RNA is filed under the name Ananas comosus (pineapple). RNAcentral's name for it is "long non-coding RNA (ACOM_LNC043861)". The record is from RNAcentral. Lineage: Eukaryota; Viridiplantae; Streptophyta; Magnoliopsida; Poales; Bromeliaceae.
GGGCGCGACGAGAGGACGAUCUAGCUAGUCCGGUAUAGCGACCGUCAUCCUGGUUACUUUUAUUUCUGCACUUAGUAGUUGUUAAUAAUAAAUGGUUCAGUUAGAUGUUUGAAUGUUGUGAUUUCCGUUAUGCAUGAUUAGAUGAUCAUACUUGAUGUUUGAAUAUUGUGAGCUGGUUGAAUUUGUGGAUUUGUGGAUUUGGUUUAUGGAUCUUCAAUUUUGGGAUAUUUGUAUUUAUGGAUUUACGAAUCGUGGUUUUCUACCCCUCGAGGUAGUCGAUUUUCAAAAUAGAGUUUUCGUGUGGGAAACAGCUUUCAAAAGGUUUUUGAAUGGUUUUCAUGAAUGAAUGAAUUAGAGUUCAAAAGCAAAGCUUCCGGGUGGGGAGCACUUUUAAAUAUGAUGAUUGUUGUGCUGUGCAUUGCAUCAUCCAGCGCCUAAGGAGUGCUUAGAGGCAUGCAUCAUCUUUGAGGAUCGUUAGCUGUAUGGAAAUGUAUAUCAUGAAUUGGUUGUUAAUUGGUGAUUGUAGAUUAUAGUUGGGAUCCUGUGGUAGCUAUUGGUAUGCCGUGAAAAUACAAAGGAGACUCUGUCCGAGUGGACAGAGGAACUUUGUAUUUGUGGCGGGUCUAUACGUCUCGUGGGCCAGGUUGAAAAAAAAAUGGGACGUCUUCCGCAGCUCUGUUUUUAAAAUGGUAAUGGAUUUUA